Non-coding RNA from Podarcis lilfordi (Lilford's wall lizard), 287 nucleotides. Lineage: Eukaryota; Metazoa; Chordata; Lepidosauria; Squamata; Lacertidae. The record is from the annotation of a GenBank genome assembly.
GGUCUGGUGUGGUUCUCUCCCGCGCUCAGCGCUGCGCUGGGCGGCCGCUGCACCGUCCCUCCCCCAGAUAGUCCCUCGCUCUCUCUCCGCACCGCACGCCUGGCACCCACCCCCUCCACAGUGGGCGGCGACCCAGCGGCUCGGAUUGGAUUCGCACAGCCAGCACUGCAGUGAGAGAGAGUGAGUGAGCCAGGUAGGGGCAGAGAGCUGCGAGUGCGAGCGCACCCCCCCCAGAUGUUGCGCCCGGUGCGGCCGGCCCCCCCUGCACCCCCCACGCUACGCCACUG